This 484-nucleotide ribosomal RNA is filed under the name uncultured bacterium. RNAcentral describes it as "partial 16S ribosomal RNA". It matches the Rfam family "Bacterial small subunit ribosomal RNA", at positions 30 to 507 of the family's 1533-position model. The record is from RNAcentral.
AUUGAACGCUGGCGGCAGGCCUAACACAUGCAAGUCGAGCGGAUGAAGGGAGCUUGCUCCUGGAUUCAGCGGCGGACGGGUGAGUAAUGCCUAGGAAUCUGCCUGGUAGUGGGGGAUAGCGUCCGGAAACGGGCGCUAAUACCGCAUACGUCCUGAGGGAGAAAGUGGGGAAUCUUCGGACCUCACGCUAUCAGAUGAGCCUAGGUCGGAUUAGCUAGUUGGUGGGGUAAAGGCCUACCAAGGCGACGAUCCGUAACUGGUCUGAGAGGAUGAUCAGUCACACUGGAACUGAGACACGGUCCAGACUCCUACGGGAGGCAGCAGUGGGGAAUAUUGGACAAUGGGCGAAAGCCUGAUCCAGCCAUGCCGCGUGUGUGAAGAAGGUCUUCGGAUUGUAAAGCACUUUAAGUUGGGAGGAAGGGCAGUAAGUUAAUACCUUGCUGUUUUGACGUUACCAACAGAAUAAGCACCGGCUAACUUCGUG